GACGAACGCUGGCGGCGUGCUUAACACAUGCAAGUCGAACGGAAAGGCCUGCUUUCCCUUGUGGAUUGCGGGUACUCGAGUGGCGAACGGGUGAGUAACACGUGAGUGAUCUGCCCCCAACUUGGGUAUAAGCCUGGGAAACUGGGUCUAAUUCCCGAUAGGACUGCAGGGUGGUGCCUGUGGUGGAAAACGAUUUUCUAGUGGUUGGGGAUGAGCUCGCGGCCUAUCAGCUUGUUGGUGGGGUAAUGGCCUACCAAGGCGGCGACGGGUAGCCGGCCUGAGAGGAUGGACGGCCACAUUGGGACUGAGGUACGGCCCAGACUCCUACGGGAGGCAGCAGUGGGGAAUAUUGCACAAUGGGCGGAAGCCUGAUGCAGCGACGCCGCGUGGGGGAUGACGGCCUUCGGGUUGUAAACUCCUUUCGACCGCGAGGAAGCCACCUGGUUGGAAGGGUGGUGACGGUAGUGGUAGAAGAAGCACCGGCUAACUACGUG
RNAcentral lists this ribosomal RNA (494 nucleotides) under uncultured bacterium. RNAcentral describes it as "partial 16S ribosomal RNA". It matches the Rfam family "Bacterial small subunit ribosomal RNA", at positions 28 to 507 of the family's 1533-position model. The record is from RNAcentral.